GAUGAAGAACGUAGCGAAAUGCGAUAAGUAAUGUGAAUUGCAGAAUUCAGUGAAUCAUCGAAUCUUUGAACGCACAUUGCGCCCGCCAGUAUUCUGGCGGGCAUGCCUGUUCGAGCGUCAUUUCAACCAUCAAGCCCCCGGGCUUGUGUUGGGGACCUGCGGCUGCCGCAGGCCCUGAAAAGCAGAGGCGGGCUCGCUGUCACACCGAGCGUAGUAGAUUUUAUCUCGCUCAGGGCGUGCUGCGGGUUCCGGCCGUUAAACCACCUUCAUAACCCAAGGUUGACCUCGGAUCAGGUAGGAAGACCCGCUGAACUUAAGCAUAUCAAUAAGCGGAGGA
This 337-nucleotide unclassified non-coding RNA is filed under the name soil metagenome. Its description in RNAcentral is "partial contains 5.8S ribosomal RNA, internal transcribed spacer 2, and large subunit ribosomal RNA". The stretch from base 1 to 120 matches the Rfam family "5.8S ribosomal RNA", at positions 35 to 154 of the family's 154-position model. The record is from RNAcentral.